Molecule: transfer RNA, 141 nt
Filed under: Chryseobacterium wangxinyae
Lineage: Bacteria; Pseudomonadati; Bacteroidota; Flavobacteriia; Flavobacteriales; Weeksellaceae
Description: tRNA-Asp
Rfam family: tRNA
About the family: Transfer RNA (tRNA) molecules are approximately 80 nucleotides in length. Their secondary structure includes four short double-helical elements and three loops (D, anti-codon, and T loops).
Source: RNAcentral
GAAAAGUAGCUCAGUUGGUAGAGCAAAAGCACUGAAAGAUUCUAUACUUUUUACCUUGAUUUAAAAUAAAAACAAGUGCCGUAGAGUAGUGUUACUUCGCUAUCACCGACAGGGUCGCAGGUUCGAGUCCUGCCUUUUUAA